GAUGAACGCUGGCGGCGUGCCUAAUACAUGCAAGUCGAGCGAACAGAUGAGGAGCUUGCUCCUCUGACGUUAGCGGCGGACGGGUGAGUAACACGUGGAUAACCUACCUAUAUGUCUGGGAUAACUUCGGGAAACCGGAGCUAAUACCGGAUAAUAUAUUGAACCGCAUGGUUCAAUAGUGAAAGACGGUUUUGCUGUCACUUAUAGAUGGAUCCGCGCCGCAUUAGCUGGUUGUUAAGGUAACGGCUUACCACGGCAACGAUGCGUAGCCGACCUGAGAGGGUGAUCGGCCACACGCGAACUGAGACACGGUCCAGACUCCUGCGGGAGGCAGCAGUAGGGAAUCUUCCGCAAUGGGCGAAAGCCUGACGGAGCAACCCCGCGUGAGUGAUGAAGGUCUUCGGAUCGUAAAACUCUGUUAUUAGGGAAGAACAAAUGUGUAAGUAACUAUGCACGUCUUGACGGUACCUAAUCAGAAAGCCACGGCUAACUACGUG
Molecule: ribosomal RNA, 497 nt
Filed under: uncultured bacterium
Lineage: Bacteria
Description: partial 16S ribosomal RNA
Rfam family: Bacterial small subunit ribosomal RNA
Source: RNAcentral